Molecule: long non-coding RNA, 295 nt
Organism: Bactrocera oleae (olive fruit fly)
Lineage: Eukaryota; Metazoa; Arthropoda; Insecta; Diptera; Tephritidae
Source: RefSeq, a predicted model, not a curated record
GAACCUGCCUAAUAGGUUUUGCAUGUAUUUGAUUACGCCGCAUCUCUGCUUUCUAUGCACUGUGUGAACAAACAUUGUCAUGCAACUAGCAGAAGAGAGCAUAAGCAACGGAGAAUACUCAUAUCAGCUGUUUCUAUAUCGAAAGAGAAGGACGACUGAUGACGCCAUUCAACGGAGCACACCUUAACCAUACUAGAUAAAAACUAAAACUAUGCAUCAUUUAUGAUAUCUGUAGCGCCUGCGAUGAACAAUGUCUUUUUAAAAUAAAGAAAUUACUUAUUAAAAAUGGACUCGA